This 24-nucleotide non-coding RNA is filed under the name Arabidopsis thaliana (thale cress). The record is from RNAcentral. Lineage: Eukaryota; Viridiplantae; Streptophyta; Magnoliopsida; Brassicales; Brassicaceae.
UCUGCGUUUCAUGACUGACAUCAG